This is a long non-coding RNA of Hippoglossus stenolepis (Pacific halibut), 765 nucleotides long. RefSeq lists it as uncharacterized. NCBI's taxonomy places the organism in Eukaryota, Metazoa, Chordata, Actinopteri, Pleuronectiformes, Pleuronectidae. The record is from RefSeq and is a predicted model, not a curated record. The transcript is spliced from 4 exons.
GAUCCAGAUGUUUUGGCUUCACGUCCCUGUGGGAGCCGUCAAAUCACUUUACAUUUAAAUCGUCUCCUAUGUUUGAAAAAAGCUGCUCUGGCGUAGUUUAGAUUUUUUACUCUGAUUUUAUAACUUUCUCUCCUGUGACGGCAAAAUUAAUGUCCUGUGAAAUUAGUAAAUGCCUUUAAACCAAUCAAGUGAAGGAUGCAUUCAUUACUCAGCCAAUCAGGAGCAGCUUUCACUAAAGCUGCAGUGAGAUCGGACCAGGAAGAGGAGGAGUUUACACACACAGGAAACUGGACUUUGAACUGGGUGGUUUCACGAGUGAACUGGUUCAACAGGGAGGAGGAGCCUGAGAACAGGGAAGUGUCAGACUCCAUUUUCACCUGGAUGAGCAGAAGGAAGAAAAGUGAGCAGACUGGUUUGUCCUGAUUCCUGUGAGCUCACAGUGUUUUUCCUCUCAGACUGAAGAUGAGUGGUUAUGAGGAGGAAGAGGAGGACAGAGCAGAGUCUCCAGGGUUCAGCUGUGUGUCUCUGAAGAGUGACAAGUCCAUGAAUCCUCCUCUACUCUUCAGUAAUGAACCUGGACCCUCACACACAAAAGGUCAGGACCACAGACUGAGAGCCGAGUCUCCAGGGUCCAGCUGUGAGUCUCUGAAGAGUGACAUGUCCAUAGAUCAGCCUCUGUUGUUCAGUAAAGAACCUGGACCCUCACACACAGAAGAGAGGAAGAGGAGCCAUGUUUCUGAGGAGGAGCAGUCGUCCUGCUGUGCU